AUGCAACCAGAACAAAAGAAAGCUAGAAUACAACAAAUUACAGCUAGCCAAGAGUUGAAGCGCAGCACACCAAGCAAAGAUUCAAUUGCGAUGGAGAAUCCUGCAUAUGUUGCAACUCAAAAGGAAGUUAGUACAUCCAAAUUUAGUGAAAAACACGUAAAGCGUGUGACACCCGGAGAAAGGCAAACAUUGCUACGCCGCUGUAACAAAGAAUUCUCGACAAGGCGGAUGAAAACUGUUUCUGUAUCAUCAAAAGAAGAAGCAUCUAUGACAGAAACCGGCAACGAUGGCACGGAACCUCUACAGCAACCAGAGGUCAUGAUUUAUGGUAAUACUCUAAAUUUUAUACAAUACUUGCAUUCAAAAUAA
RNAcentral lists this ribosomal RNA (369 nucleotides) under Triticum aestivum (bread wheat). RNAcentral's name for it is "partial small subunit ribosomal RNA". Lineage: Eukaryota; Viridiplantae; Streptophyta; Magnoliopsida; Poales; Poaceae. The record is from RNAcentral.